GGGCUUGUGGUUUAGUGGUAUAAUUUUCCCUUAGCAUCUCGUUUCAGCUAUCUGUUACAGCGUGGGAAAGGUCCUGGGUUCGAUUCCCAGCAAGUCCA
Non-coding RNA from Delitschia confertaspora ATCC 74209, 98 nucleotides. The record is from the annotation of a GenBank genome assembly. NCBI's taxonomy places the organism in Eukaryota, Fungi, Ascomycota, Dothideomycetes, Pleosporales, Delitschiaceae.